UCGGUCAUAAUAGUCCCUUGAAAUCAUUAAUGGUUAAAAAAAUCCCUGUAAGUGUUGACGUCGGUCAAAGUAGUCCCUAUUUAAGUUUAGCCGUUAGUCCCUGGGACGGAAAAUGUCCAUGUGUCACGUUAUGUGCCACGUGGGUUUCAAUUUGGUCCCCGACAUUAUCAAUUUAGUCCCUGACAUGUAAUUAAAUAAAAAAUAUGAAUUAAAAAUUAAUCAGUCUAUUAAAAAAAUUAAUUAUUAAUGAAAUUAAAAUUAAAAUUAUUAAUUAAAAAAUUCUUGAUUUCCAAUUUCAGAAAUUUCUAAACAAAAAUAACCUUCAUCUUCAUCCCUCUAGAAACCUGGAAAAUCCCUAAUCAAACUCCACCAAGAAAAAACCUGAAUUAUAUAUCAAGCUUCAUUCUUCUACUGUAAAAGAACAAAAACAUGCCCAAACCUCUUUCUAUCCCUUUGCCGUAAAUCCAUCCUCUCCACCCUUUCACUCUUUUUUUUUUUUUUAAAGAAAAUAAACUCUCUUCCCUUUCUACUCUGUCCGUAUAAAAAAACCACCACCAAAUCUUCUCAUUUGAAUUCCAUCACCUUUCUUCUGGGUUUCUUUUCAUCUCCUCCCCCUUCUUCAU
RNAcentral lists this long non-coding RNA (623 nucleotides) under Lotus japonicus. RNAcentral's name for it is "long non-coding RNA (LJAP_LNC001316)". Lineage: Eukaryota; Viridiplantae; Streptophyta; Magnoliopsida; Fabales; Fabaceae. The record is from RNAcentral.